This 558-nucleotide ribosomal RNA is filed under the name Pentatoma japonica. RNAcentral's name for it is "partial large subunit ribosomal RNA". It matches the Rfam family "Bacterial large subunit ribosomal RNA", at positions 1799 to 2617 of the family's 2925-position model. The record is from RNAcentral. Lineage: Eukaryota; Metazoa; Arthropoda; Insecta; Hemiptera; Pentatomidae.
CCUUUUUUUUACAAAAACAUGUCUUAAUGUAAAAUUAUAUUAAGUCUGGCCUGCUCAAUGAUUAUUAAUAAUUAAAUAGCCGCAGUAUUUUGACUGUGCGAAGGUAGCAUAAUCAUUUGUCUUUUAAUUGGAGGCUUGUAUGAAUGGUUUAAUGAGAAAAUAACUUUCUUUAUAUUAAAAUUUGAAUUUAAUAUUUUAGUUAAAAAGCUAAAAUACUUGAAUGGGACGAGAAGACCCUGUAGAAUUUUAUUUUUAUUUUUAAUUAAAAUUAUAUUGUUAAUUAUUUAUUUAUUUAUUUAUAAAAAUUUUGUUGGGGUGACGUUGAGAUUUUUUUAACUCUCAUGAUAUAUUAUUUUAUUUAUAUGUAUAUUUAUUGAUCCUAUUUUAAGGAUAAUUAGAUUAAAUUACCUCAGGGAUAACAGCGUAAUUUUUCUGGAGAGUUCUUAUCAAUGGAAAAGUUUGCGACCUCGAUGUUGGAUUAAAAUUAGGUUUAAGUGCAGAAGCUUAAUAUCUAGGUCUGUUCGACCUUUAAAAUUUUACAUGAUCAAUUUCCAACCC